UACGUAGGGUGCGAGCGUUGUCCGGAAUUAUUGGGCGUAAAGGGCUCGUAGGCGGUUUGUCACGUCGGGAGUGAAAACUCGGGGCUUAACCCCGAGCCUGCUUCCGAUACGGGCUGACUAGAGGUAUGCAGGGGAGAACGGAAUUCCUGGUGUAGCGGUGAAAUGCGCAGAUAUCAGGAGGAACACCGGUGGCGAAGGCGGUUCUCUGGGCAUUGCCUGACGCUGAGGAGCGAAAGUGUGGGGAGCGAACAGG
This 253-nucleotide ribosomal RNA is filed under the name uncultured bacterium. Its description in RNAcentral is "partial 16S ribosomal RNA". It matches the Rfam family "Bacterial small subunit ribosomal RNA", at positions 524 to 776 of the family's 1533-position model. The record is from RNAcentral.